RNAcentral lists this unclassified non-coding RNA (602 nucleotides) under Salicornia iranica subsp. iranica. Its description in RNAcentral is "partial contains external transcribed spacer and small subunit ribosomal RNA". Lineage: Eukaryota; Viridiplantae; Streptophyta; Magnoliopsida; Caryophyllales; Amaranthaceae. The record is from RNAcentral.
GCGGUGCUGAUUAGGGGUUGUUCUUACUCUCCCUUGCAAUUAUUUUGUACUUGUAGGGGUGCAUGUAGGCACGGUCCUUGUGAUGCGGUACGUGAUGGUGUGUGAGUGGUAUUUGGUUUGUGUGGUUGGCGGGCUCUUUGCUUGUGCAUUGGACCGUUCACCAACAUACCUUUUCAUUGUAUGCUGCAAGUGCACCAUUUUGCCUUGGGCGACGUGUGGUCCCUAUGUUGGAUUCCGAUUAACGGUAUUGUUGUUGUCCCUUUAAAGAGUGAURUUCGCUCUACGUCCGUAAAAGGAGGUCGAGCGGACCAUGAAACUUGACUCGUUAUCCUCCUGUUUUGUGAAAACAAGCAUGAUAGGGUUGGAUUAUGAUCUCAAGUUGGGCCCUAGGAUACAGAAAGUUGUGUGGGAGUUGAUGUAAAAACGUCGCAAACCCAAAGCGUUGGUACGCUAAUGAUGGAUGACAUUCGAGUGUGUUGUGAUUCUUUCAUUCUAGAAAGGUUCAUGCUCGCCGAUGUCGACCAAGGAGUGCUACCUGGUUGAUCCUGCCAGUAGUCAUAUGCUUGUCUCAAAGAUUAAGCCAUGCAUGUGUAAGUAUGAAC